UACGGAGGAUGCAAGCGUUAUCCGGAUUUAUUGGGCGUAAAGCGUCCGCAGGUGGCUAUUCAAGUCUGCUGUCAAAGCUCGGAGCUUAACUCCGAAUCGGCGGUGGAAACUGAACAGCUAGAGUGCAGUAGGGGGAGAGGGAAUUCCCAGUGUAGCGGUGAAAUGCGUAGAGAUUGGGAAGAACACCGGUGGCGAAAGCGCUCUACUGGACUGCAACUGACACUCAGGGACGAAAGCUAGGGGAGCGAAUGGG
Molecule: ribosomal RNA, 253 nt
Filed under: uncultured bacterium
Lineage: Bacteria
Description: partial 16S ribosomal RNA
Rfam family: Bacterial small subunit ribosomal RNA
Source: RNAcentral